CCUACGGGCGGCAGCAGUGGGGAAUAUUGGACAAUGGGCGAAAGCCUGAUCCAGCCAUGCCGCGUGUGUGAAGAAGGCCUUCGGGUUGUAAAGCACUUUCAGUGGGGAAGAAAGCCUUGGGGCUAAUACCCUCGAGGAAGGACAUCACCCACAGAAGAAGCACCGGCUAACUCCGUGCCAGCAGCCGCGGUAAUACGGAGGGUGCGAGCGUUAAUCGGAAUUACUGGGCGUAAAGCGCGCGUAGGCGGUCUGAUAAGCCGGUUGUGAAAGCCCCGGGCUCAACCUGGGAACGGCAUCCGGAACUGUCAGGCUAGAGUGCAGGAGAGGGAGGUAGAAUUCCCGGUGGAGCGGUGAAAUGCGUAGAGAUCGGGAGGAAUACCAGUGGCGAAGGCGGCCUUCUGGACUGACACUGACGCUGAGGUGCGAAAGCGUGGGUAGCAAACAGGAUUAGAUACCCGAGUAGUC
Molecule: ribosomal RNA, 465 nt
Filed under: Vreelandella stevensii
Lineage: Bacteria; Pseudomonadati; Pseudomonadota; Gammaproteobacteria; Oceanospirillales; Halomonadaceae
Description: partial 16S ribosomal RNA
Rfam family: Bacterial small subunit ribosomal RNA
Source: RNAcentral